CUGAAAGACGCUUGUUUGAGCCGUGAGGAGGAUUCUGUGCACGAUGACCUUUGACCCUGUAAACAGCUCAGACUGAGACUCAGUCGACCAGUCAGACUGGACUUUGCUGGUGACGUGAGGACACACCCUCUGUGAUGAAGAACAACAAGCUCUAACAAGCUGCGUCACCUGGAAGCUGAAGUGAAGCACGGAGCUCCUUUUCUACACGGACCUGCUGAGGACAGAAGAGAGCUGCUCACUGAGGAACUUCAUGUCUACAAGAUCAUCUUCAGUUUUUCUCUCAUUGAUCAGCAGCUUGUAGUCGACCUUUUACUAACUGAUCACAUGGUGAAGUGAACCGUCCAUCAGGAGAGAGCUUUCCCAUGUUGCCAUGGUAACCAGUGUGUCACCUUACUGGUCUGUUUCACUGACUUCUGGACUCUGAAGGACAUCAAGAGGAGAAACAGCACAGCGCCAUCUGCUGGAAGACGAGUGAUCAUGUUCACCUGGUAAAACACGACAUUUACAGGAUGAGCGUUUAUAAUGACGUCUCCUGUUAACAGGGUUUAAAGAAGGAAAAGGACGUUCGUCUUUCUCCAGAA
Long non-coding RNA from Gasterosteus aculeatus aculeatus (three-spined stickleback), 581 nucleotides. NCBI's taxonomy places the organism in Eukaryota, Metazoa, Chordata, Actinopteri, Perciformes, Gasterosteidae. The record is from Ensembl.